UACGUAGGGUGCAAGCGUUAAUCGGAAUUACUGGGCGUAAAGCGUGCGCAGGCGGUUUUGUAAGUCUGUCGUGAAAUCCCCGGGCUCAACCUGGGAAUUGCGAUGGAGACUGCAAGGCUAGAAUCUGGCAGAGGGGGGUAGAAUUCCACGUGUGAGCAGUGAAAUGCGUGAGAGAUGUGGAGGAACACCGAUGGCGAAGGCAGCCCCCUGGGUCAAGAUUGGACGCUCAUGCACGAAAGCGUGGGGAGCAAACAGGAU
RNAcentral lists this ribosomal RNA (258 nucleotides) under uncultured bacterium. RNAcentral describes it as "partial 16S ribosomal RNA". It matches the Rfam family "Bacterial small subunit ribosomal RNA", at positions 524 to 778 of the family's 1533-position model. The record is from RNAcentral.